RNAcentral lists this ribosomal RNA (1342 nucleotides) under Vibrio cholerae. Its description in RNAcentral is "partial 23S ribosomal RNA". It matches the Rfam family "Bacterial large subunit ribosomal RNA", at positions 1605 to 2925 of the family's 2925-position model. Lineage: Bacteria; Pseudomonadati; Pseudomonadota; Gammaproteobacteria; Vibrionales; Vibrionaceae. The record is from RNAcentral.
CUUCCAGGAAAAGCCUCUAAGCUUCAGAUAGUCAGGAAUCGUACCCCAAACCGACACAGGUGGUCGGGUAGAGAAUACCAAGGCGCUUGAGAGAACUCGGGUGAAGGAACUAGGCAAAAUGGUACCGUAACUUCGGGAGAAGGUACGCUCUUGAUGGUGAAGUCCCUCGCGGAUGGAGCUGACGAGAGUCGCAGAUACCAGGUGGCUGCAACUGUUUAUUAAAAACACAGCACUGUGCAAAAUCGCAAGAUGACGUAUACGGUGUGACGCCUGCCCGGUGCCGGAAGGUUAAUUGAUGGGGUUAGCGCAAGCGAAGCUCUUGAUCGAAGCCCCGGUAAACGGCGGCCGUAACUAUAACGGUCCUAAGGUAGCGAAAUUCCUUGUCGGGUAAGUUCCGACCUGCACGAAUGGCGUAAUGAUGGCCACGCUGUCUCCACCCGAGACUCAGUGAAAUUGAAAUCGCUGUGAAGAUGCAGUGUACCCGCGGCUAGACGGAAAGACCCCGUGAACCUUUACUACAGCUUGGCACUGAACAUUGAACCUACAUGUGUAGGAUAGGUGGGAGGCUAUGAAGACGUGACGCCAGUUGCGUUGGAGCCGUCCUUGAAAUACCACCCUUGUAUGUUUGAUGUUCUAACGUUGGCCCCUAAUCGGGGUUGCGGACAGUGCCUGGUGGGUAGUUUGACUGGGGCGGUCUCCUCCCAAAGAGUAACGGAGGAGCACGAAGGUGGGCUAAUCACGGUUGGACAUCGUGAGGUUAGUGCAAUGGCAUAAGCCCGCUUAACUGCGAGAAUGACGGUUCGAGCAGGUGCGAAAGCAGGUCAUAGUGAUCCGGUGGUUCUGUAUGGAAGGGCCAUCGCUCAACGGAUAAAAGGUACUCCGGGGAUAACAGGCUGAUACCGCCCAAGAGUUCAUAUCGACGGCGGUGUUUGGCACCUCGAUGUCGGCUCAUCACAUCCUGGGGCUGAAGUCGGUCCCAAGGGUAUGGCUGUUCGCCAUUUAAAGUGGUACGCGAGCUGGGUUUAGAACGUCGUGAGACAGUUCGGUCCCUAUCUGCCGUGGGCGUUGGAAGAUUGAAGGGGGCUGCUCCUAGUACGAGAGGACCGGAGUGGACGAACCUCUGGUGUUCGGGUUGUGUCGCCAGACGCAUUGCCCGGUAGCUAAGUUCGGAAUUGAUAAGCGCUGAAAGCAUCUAAGCGCGAAGCGAGCCCUGAGAUGAGUCUUCCCUGAUACUUUAAGUAUCCUAAAGGGUUGUUCGAGACUAGAACGUUGAUAGGCAGGGUGUGUAAGCGUUGUGAGGCGUUGAGCUAACCUGUACUAAUUGCCCGUGAGGCUUAACCAU